RNAcentral lists this long non-coding RNA (1049 nucleotides) under Sorghum bicolor (sorghum). RNAcentral's name for it is "long non-coding RNA (SBIC_LNC001210)". The record is from RNAcentral. Lineage: Eukaryota; Viridiplantae; Streptophyta; Magnoliopsida; Poales; Poaceae.
CGAUAGUCCACUCUCUCUCCCUCCACCUUCCCAUCCUGUGGCGGCAGACCUGAGCAGAUCCCGUCGAUUGGUGGUGGUUCAAGCACCCUUUCCCUCAAAUCAGAUGAGCUCAAGGCCCUCUCCCUCGGAUCCAAGUAGUACGAGGCUUCUAGCAGAGGAUCUGGCUGCGAGCGGUGGCGGCACCCUCUACCAAUCUCUCUCCCACCCGAGUGACACCCCUCUCCCUCAGAACCGAUCGCGGCGGGUCAAGGUGGCCUCUCUACUGCAGAACUAGUCACGGCGGGUCACGUCCGCCCCUCUGCUGCACAUCCAGUUGCAGCGGUGGUAGAUCCAGUCAUGGCUGCAGCGGAUCGAGGCACGACGGCGAGACCGAAGGGAGGAGCCUGCUCCCCCAGUGGCGGUGGCGCGUAGGGGCACGAGAGCCAGGCCUAGUUCCAGGCCCGAUUAGGGCUGGAUAUGGCAUUUUUUCUUUUUGUUUUUUAUUUGAUUUACUGUGGUGGGUAUUUGAACCAUCUCGGUAAAGAUUUAUUUACAUGACCUUUUAAUUGAGGUGAUUGUUGAUAUUUGGAAACGCAAUCAGAAUUAAUCCGCAAGCACAUGGAUAUCGGUGAGCACUUCACCCGGGAUGUUAUCCAGAGUAUCGUAUUUAUAUUUUUACCACUAGGAGAAAGAGUGCAUCUGACUAACCUGGUCUAUUACUACUAACCUUUAGGCUACAAAGAAUGUUUCUCGAUGUGAGCGAUGUAUAGAGAAGACUACAACCGUAAUCUCGUUCUAACCUUGGUAAGGAUGAUCUACUGUUCUGUUGGGGAGGGUUACGGAAUCUAGACACCAUAGAGGAUGUUCAACCCGCACCUAUAAACCCUAUCGAUUCUACUAAUCGGAUAUGGGCUGCAAAGGUAACUCGGAAAUGUCACGCUCCUCGCUACUACCACGAUCCAGCUAGUCAGGGAUAUCUAUGAGUAUCCUAGCCCAAACACCACGUUUACGCUAGAGAUGAUUACUCUAAACUCUACGCGAAGAGAUCAAAGUAAACUCAUAAACCAAAG